CCACGCCGUAAACGAUGCUCACUGGAUCUUGGCGAUACACUGCCAGGGUUCAAGCGAAAGUCUUAAGUGAGCCACCUGGGGAGUACGUCGGCAACGAUGAAACUCAAAGGAAUUGACGGGGGCCCGCACAAGCGGAGGAACAUGUGGUUUAAUUCGAUGAUACGCGAGGAACCUUACCCGGGUUUAAAUGUGGGGUGCAUUAGGUGGAAACACUUAUUCCCUUCGGGGCUUCCCACAAGGUGCUGCAUGGUUGU
RNAcentral lists this ribosomal RNA (254 nucleotides) under uncultured bacterium. Its description in RNAcentral is "partial 16S ribosomal RNA". It matches the Rfam family "Bacterial small subunit ribosomal RNA", at positions 795 to 1052 of the family's 1533-position model. The record is from RNAcentral.